UGGGGAAUAUUGCACAAUGGGCGCAAGCCUGAUGCAGCCAUGCCGCGUGUGUGAAGAAGGCCUUCGGGUUGUAAAGCACUUUCAGCGGGGAGGAAGGCGUUAAGGUUAAUAACCUUGGCAAUUGACGUUACCCGCAGAAGAAGCACCGGCUAACUCCGUGCCAGCAGCCGCGGUAAUACGGAGGGUGCAAGCGUUAAUCGGAAUUACUGGGCGUAAAGCGCACGCAGGCGGUCUGUCAAGUCGGAUGUGAAAUCCCCGGGCUCAACCUGGGAACUGCAUUCGAAACUGGCAGGCUAGAGUCUUGUAGAGGGGGGUAGAAUUCCAGGUGUAGCGGUGAAAUGCGUAGAGAUCUGGAGGAAUACCGGUGGCGAAGGCGGCCCCCUGGACGAAGACUGACGCUCAGGUGCGAAAGCGUGGGGAGCAAACAGG
RNAcentral lists this ribosomal RNA (429 nucleotides) under Chloroflexota bacterium. RNAcentral's name for it is "Chloroflexi bacterium partial 16S ribosomal RNA". It matches the Rfam family "Bacterial small subunit ribosomal RNA", at positions 355 to 776 of the family's 1533-position model. Lineage: Bacteria; Bacillati; Chloroflexota. The record is from RNAcentral.